Molecule: long non-coding RNA, 214 nt
Filed under: Brachypodium distachyon (stiff brome)
Lineage: Eukaryota; Viridiplantae; Streptophyta; Magnoliopsida; Poales; Poaceae
Description: long non-coding RNA (BDIS_LNC000809)
Source: RNAcentral
CUCUCCCUCGUCGUCCACGUCUCCCUCUUCCACGGGCAGUAGCUCCACCAGUACCGAAAGUUGGACAAUAAGUGUCCCUGUGGCCAAAAUGGUUGCAUAGAAAACAUUGUCGUGACGGUCCUCCGGCUUCAGAUUCAUCCAUAUCAUUUCGGAUGCGCCUGGACGGGCGUCUGCCUGUGCCUGUCCGUAGUAGCCCGGGGUCAGGGAUGUACCG